Molecule: long non-coding RNA, 1864 nt
Organism: Lepisosteus oculatus (spotted gar)
Lineage: Eukaryota; Metazoa; Chordata; Actinopteri; Semionotiformes; Lepisosteidae
Source: Ensembl
AUGCUUUGUCGGUUGCUGUCUCCCACAGGGAUGGGGAAGCCGUCUCUCUCAACGCCCUGGCUGGUGCUGGUGCUGCUGGGAGGUCACAUGAUCGCGGCAUCGCCAACGAAAGGGACUGAUGCAGAUGGAUGUGCUCUGUGUUCAUCUGGUUUCCAUCGAUCCGGCUGCAGUGAGUGCCACGCCUGUAAAGAAGGCUCCUUCACUCCGAGCUGGAACACCGAAGAGACCUGUUUCUCGUGUUCCCGGGACUGUAGACCCGAGUUCAACCUGGAGAUCGUGAAGCCCUGCACCAAAGUCUCAGACCUGGUAUGUCGGUGUCGGGCAGGUUAUCGCUGUGUAGAAGACAUUGUCCUUACAGGUCACUGCACGAACUGCAUCAGGAUCGCCACUCCGCCUCAGCACAUCACAGAGGCCCGACCGCCCACUUCCUGUCCCGCUGGUACGUUCCUGAACUCGUCCUCCAGGAACUGUGACCCCCACACAAACUGCGCAGCUCUGGGGAAGCAGGUGGAGGUCAUGGGCAACUCCACAGCAGACACCGUGUGUGGCACCAGUGCCAGUCCCAUCAAGAGCCCAGACGUCAAUGUGUUUGUCCUGGUUGGUGUGCUGGGCGCUCUGGGGUUUGUGGCUGGCCUGUUGCUGAAGAAAACCAGGGAGGCGUUGUCUAUAAAACAAGCCUUCAAACUCUGCUCUCCAGGUGUGGAAAAGGCAGACUGCAGUACUGCGAAGCACAAAGAGAGCCGGAAAGCUGGCCAGCUCCUCUCCAACGGGGUAGAUCUGCUGACCAACAACGUGCCUGAGAGACGGCAAGAGACGGCCCCGCCCACGACCCGAACCCAGGACACGGAUUGGAUGGGAGGAGCCACUCACGGCGGAGAGAAGGUCAACCCACCAAUCACCAUGACUCCUGUAGAACCACACGCUACUGGGAACUUAGGACCCUUCCACAUCUACAGCCCUGGCACGGUGUUUGUGGGCCUGCUCAACCAGAUGUCCGCCCCUCCUCCUCCUCCUCCUCCUCCGGCGGCUCCGAGCUCUCCAGAGCCCCGGGAGACGGGGUCGGGGGCACCCGCCCGUCCCCCCUCGGGGGCGGCGCCCGUGCCCCUGUCCCAGGAGGAGUGGGGCGGGCACCCGCCUCGCCAGGAGCAGGGGAAAGACAGCCACCUGUCGCACGAGGAAAAGGACGACGCUCAGUAGCCCGGCAGGCGGCGACUGCAGAGGCAGGGCAGGGUCGUGUGGCACUGCAGAACACUUGGGCAGGAACGAUACAGUCACCCAGCAGGACAAGAACCCUCCAGUGCGGUGCGACACUCUUCUGCUGUGUGUACUGUGUACAGUGUGAUAUACAGCAGCAGUAAGGUUUGACACAGCAUAGCACAGCCCAGGAGUGCUGGAGCAGGACAAUGCCACAGAGGCUGCAGUGCAGUGCAUUGUGCUACAAUAGUAUCAUACAGUGCCGUGUAACACAGUAUAAUAGUGUAAAGUGGUGCUGCAGAAUUCUGUACAGUAUAAUACUGGGAUUAUCUGAAUACUCUGGUGGGCUAUGGAGAGGUAGGUGGUGCUCUCUGCAGAGGCGAGAGUCCAGGACUGAGGAAUUGAAGGCUGGUGGUGUAGUAUGAGAGCUGUCCUCCAGCUGCUCGUGAGACACCCUACUAUCAGCUAGACUCACACUGCUGCCCUGCCCGAAGUGAGACACUCUUACCAGCCCCUAGACUCUCACUGAGGCCUGCCCGGAGUCAGACCUGUCCUCUCUCACACUGCGGACUGUCCUCUCUCACACUGCGGCCUGUCCUCUCUCACUCCGGCCUGUCCUCUCUCACACUGCGGCCUGUCCUCUCUCUCACUCCGGCCUGUCCUCUCUCAC